GUCUUUUCCAAUUAGCAGCAACUUAAUUGAGACUACCUCAAAAGAAGAAUUUAACAUUUAUUUUUGUAGGAAAAAAGCAAUUUUAAAAUAGCCUGGGAAAACUUAGGUAAGUUUUCCUUAAUCCUGACUCCUAAUUUGUGGCUAGAAGUGGCAAUGAUAUGAACAUAAGUUGUGCUAUUUGUUAAUAUAUUGCUUUUCAUAAAUCAAUCCCUUUUUUGUAAUUAGGUAAAAAGAGAAGAGAAAGACAUUCUUGAUUUUGGUGACUAGAGUUGUAGAUGCUGGAAGCUUUGCCGCUAACAUUGAUGAACCAGAUGCAUGUCACCAGCCCAUCACAGGCACCAUGGCCCGGCACUGCCACGUUUUCCAAGGAACCUGCCAGAGCUCCUGCGGAAGCUGCUCCUCGGGCGAUGGAGUCCCUUCGCUGGUAGGCCCUUCUUCAGUCACCACAGGAUGCCUGCCAUUCAUGAACAGGAAGGAGAGGACGGGCUUUGAAUAAAAAACAGGAUCCAGGAAAUAUUUGUGAGGCCAUUUGGACUUCAGUGUGAAAUGGUGUUAAAAGAUGAAGUCAUUUAUUCAAGAAGUAAACAUCUGCCACCUGAACUGUGCUCAGACAUUUCAUUGAUUUUGUUUAAUAAACAUUUCCUGGCUUUGGGAGGUGUCUCUCUUGGUAGAACACAGUGUCAAAGAUGGACAAGAUGGACACAUAGUCCAUUAUUUGGUAUUGUUUGUGUAUGGUAGCAGACCACAAAUUAAUGUUUGGAGAACAAUUUUGUCAUAACACACUGUUGAGGCUCAGUUGUACAGAACUGGAAAAGUCUUCAGCUUGGCACAUGUCCUGAUUCAGCCUUUGUUUAACAUAUAUUCCAAUCCGGAUUCUAUCUUCACUGGCUACAAAGACCACCUGAUACGUGCACCACGACACAGGAGCUGCUGGAGAGGGGGUAGUGCUAUCACCUCAAACUCACGGCCAUAUUUUUCAAAAGCCAGCUUAGAGAGAGGUGUACUGAUAGCUGCAUAGAGAACAUGCAGUCCAUCCAUUCUUCCCAGUGAUGUACAUUUCUCAAUCAGUAACCACGUGGUAUACCAACCUUGAGUGUCACAUCUCCCAACCAUAUCAAAUGGAUCACCUAACUGGAGGUGGGGGGCGGCCCUCAGAAAUGAGAUUUCGUAUUUACUGUAAAAUUGCAUUAUUUUUUCUUUUGAGGUGGAGUCUCACUCUGUUGCCUGGGCUGGAGUGCAAUGGUGUGAUCACUGCUCACUGCAACCUCCGCCUCCUGGGUUCAAGCAGUUCUCCUGCCUCAGCCUCCCAAGUAGCUGCAAUUACAGGCGCAUGCCACCACUCCCAGCAAAUUUCUAUAUUUUUAGUGGAGACAGGGUUUCACCAUGUUGGCCAGGCUGGUCUCAAACUCCUGACCUCAGGUGAUCUGCCCACCUUGGCCUCCCAAAGUUCUGGGAUUAAAGGUACGAGCCACCGCAACUGGCUGAGAAUCUUUUUAUUUGCUGAUUUGUCUCUUGUGUAUUUUCUUUGUUCAGAUGUCUCUUCGGAUCUUUUUCUCACUUUUAAAUUGUUUUUUAAUUGUUAAGAAUUUUCUGUCUAGUUUAGAUAUAAGCCCUUUAUCAGACAUGUGUUUUGCAAAUAUUUUCUCCUAGUCUGUGGCUUGUAUUCUGUCUCUUAACACUCAUUUUAUUUUUACUUUUGGAACUAAAGAAGAAGAAUGGUCAGCUUUCCGUUAUUCUUGUAACAGUAAUGGCAGAACCAAGUCUGCUAAUGCUACAUUGAGCAAAGAAAGUCACCUGGUCAAGUCCAACAUUAAUGAAAUGGGGUAGUACAUGCAGGCGGCAUUGGGGGUGGGGAGGGAACAAAUGCUUCUUGAGAGUAAUAUAAUCUGCCAUACCAUCCAGGAACCUACAAUGGCUAUCUAUUACCUUAUUCUCUGGUUUGUUUAAUGUUCGAAUCUUUCCGAAAGAUCCUUCAACCUUUCUGGAAGAAUCUAAUCUGAUAACACCAUCAAAAACACAUUACUUCUUUUGGCAUAAUUUAAAUUGUAAGACAUCAUUCACAUUUAUCAAUGUUACAUAUAUAAGAACUCACCCACCAUAAUCCUCCUUGAGGAAUCACAGCAUGUAAUUCUAUAACCAUUUUUAUAAUCGUCUAACAAUUUUAUAAUGGAUUGGUUGCUUACUAUCAAUUUUUUAAAAGUCAUGGCUUCUCCAGUCAUUUCUUGCUUAUCAAAAUUAUUUCAUGAGAUGGGUCUAUCCUUGUAUAUUUGAAAAUGAGGUUUGCUUCCUUCUACUUAAAAAACAACUUGAACAUACCUAUUUGGAUCGCAUGGUCUUGUCCUGAUAACUUAGAAGAGGUUGCUUCAGCAUUGUUCUUAUUGUUGCGGUGGUGAUUAUUAACAUUGUUUCAUAUUCCAUUUAAAAAAUUAAAAUUUUACACGAGACCAAUGUCUUCUUUUCAAUUCCAGUACAGUCUUCAGAAGUAACUAAUGCUAUUGGCUUUGUGCAUUGUAAUUUCAGACCAUUGUAUAUGUCUUUAGUUAUAUGUACAGUAUACACACAUAUGUGUCAUAUUAUUCCAUUUUUUCUAGCAUUAAACAUUG
RNAcentral lists this long non-coding RNA (2603 nucleotides) under Pan troglodytes (chimpanzee). RNAcentral's name for it is "long non-coding RNA NONPTRT013854". Lineage: Eukaryota; Metazoa; Chordata; Mammalia; Primates; Hominidae. The record is from RNAcentral.